UAAAACGACUCUCGGCAACGGAUAUCUCGGCUCUCGCAUCGAUGAAGAACGUAGCGAAAUGCGAUACUUGGUGUGAAUUGCAGAAUCCCGUGAACCAUCGAGUCUUUGAACGCAAGUUGCGCCCCAAGCCGUUAGGCCGAGGGCACGCCUGCCUGGGUGUCACG
RNAcentral lists this ribosomal RNA (164 nucleotides) under Acer caesium subsp. giraldii. Its description in RNAcentral is "5.8S ribosomal RNA". It matches the Rfam family "5.8S ribosomal RNA". Rfam says of the family: 5.8S ribosomal RNA (5.8S rRNA) is a component of the large subunit of the eukaryotic ribosome. The record is from RNAcentral. Lineage: Eukaryota; Viridiplantae; Streptophyta; Magnoliopsida; Sapindales; Sapindaceae.